CCCGCACAUGUUGAAUCAUUCAUCAUUAACUGAAAACAGAAUUUGAAAACUACAGUCUGGAUAGUUGGGGAGCUCACUGCUUCUGUGUCAUGAAAGCUUUUGAAUCCUUUGGCAGACAGAGAUUUCCCUAUUCUGGACUUUCAUAUGAAUGGAAUCAUACAAUAUGUGAACUUACUGUGACUAGUGUCUCUCAUUUAGCAUAAAUGAAGGUAUUGACUUUUGUCAGAUGCUUUUUCUGUAUCUAUUAAAAUAACCAUGGGAUAUUUGUUUUUUAUUCUAUUGAUACGAUAUAUCCUAUUAAUUGAUUUUUGGAUGUUCAGACAACCUUACAUUCCUGGGAUGUAUUCCACUUGGUCAUGCUGUAUAAUUCAUUUCAUAUGUUGCUGGAUUUGGCUUACUAGUAUUUUGUUGAGAUUUAUUGCACUCAAAU
Mustela erminea (ermine) is the source of this 430-nucleotide long non-coding RNA. RefSeq lists it as uncharacterized. NCBI's taxonomy places the organism in Eukaryota, Metazoa, Chordata, Mammalia, Carnivora, Mustelidae. The transcript has 3 exons. The record is from RefSeq and is a predicted model, not a curated record.